CUGUUCUCGAUAGCAGCUUGUUUCUUGGCCAUCAUAUCUUCAAUUUUCUUCUUUGCUUCUGGACUCAUGUUGGAUUCACCCAAGAAAGCAUUGACCUGGUCUUGAAGACCCAUAAGAGCUUCAAUGUC
Caenorhabditis elegans is the source of this 128-nucleotide non-coding RNA. Lineage: Eukaryota; Metazoa; Nematoda; Chromadorea; Rhabditida; Rhabditidae. The record is from Ensembl.